Molecule: ribosomal RNA, 253 nt
Filed under: uncultured bacterium
Lineage: Bacteria
Description: partial 16S ribosomal RNA
Rfam family: Bacterial small subunit ribosomal RNA
Source: RNAcentral
UACGUAGGUGGCAAGCGUUGUUCGGAAUUACUGGGCGUAAAGGGCGCGUAGGCGGCCUUCUAAGUCGAACGUGAAAUCCCCGGGCUCAACCCGGGAACUGCGUCCGAGACUGGAAGGCUUGAAUCCGGGAGAGGGAUGUGGAAUUCCAGGUGUAGCGGUGAAAUGCGUAGAUAUCUGGAGGAACAUCGGUGGCGAAGGCGGCAUCCUGGACCGGUAUUGACGCUGAGGCGCGAAAGCCAGGGGAGCAAACGGG